CAACCCUCGAGCUCGUCUUCAUUGACGAGAUCGGUGUUGGGGAACGGCACAGCGGGACCCAGUCCGGCGCCGACCCCGAAAUUCAGUGGCGGCCCGUUGCGGCGACCUCUGCGUAGUAACUUAACCUCGCACUGGAAGAGCAGCGCGGCCACGCCGUAAAACCCCCGACUUUUUUUUAAGG
This 181-nucleotide unclassified non-coding RNA is filed under the name uncultured Verticillium. RNAcentral's name for it is "sequence contains ITS2". Lineage: Eukaryota; Fungi; Ascomycota; Sordariomycetes; Hypocreales. The record is from RNAcentral.